Molecule: ribosomal RNA, 319 nt
Filed under: uncultured bacterium
Lineage: Bacteria
Description: bacterial SSU rRNA
Rfam family: Bacterial small subunit ribosomal RNA
Source: RNAcentral
AACGAACGCUGGCGGCGUGGAUAAGACAUGCAAGUCGAACGGGACUAAAUCUGUAGCAAUACAGGUUUAGUUUAGUGGCGAACGGGUGCGUAACACGUGGGCAAUCUGCCGAGAAGUGGGGAUAGCUCGCCGAAAGGCGAAUUAAUACCGCAUAUGAUCAGUGAAGACAUCUUCACGACAUCAAAGCCGGGGCAACCUGGCGCUUCUUGAUGAGCCCGCGGCCUAUCAGCUAGUUGGUGAGGUAACGCUCACCAAGGCUAUGACGGGUAGCUGGUCUGAGAGGACGACCAGUCACACGUGGAACUGAGACACGGUCCAG